This is a long non-coding RNA of Hyalella azteca, 321 nucleotides long. RefSeq lists it as uncharacterized. NCBI's taxonomy places the organism in Eukaryota, Metazoa, Arthropoda, Malacostraca, Amphipoda, Hyalellidae. The record is from RefSeq and is a predicted model, not a curated record. The transcript has 3 exons.
GAUCAGUUGUGCUGGUCGAGCUGACAACAUGAACCGUGUCGAGAACUACAUCCACAUAUUUUAACGAUUAACAGUGAUGAGUUCUUAUCAAUAGUCUAUUAUUAUUGAUUUCGUGUUCGAUAAAAGUUUUGGCGCAACUGAAGGUAUCGCUUCCUGUUUUGAGAUAACCAUGGAGCAGCAACCCGAAGAGGAGCAAGGCGAGAGCCAAACUACUGUAGGAGCUGAAGAGAAUAAUUAUGAAGAUGAAGAAGGGGCCGAAAGUGAAGAAGGGGAGGAGGAUGUGGACGAAGAUGAUGAAGACGACGAUGAUGAUGAAGAGGA